Molecule: ribosomal RNA, 406 nt
Filed under: Candidatus Cardinium hertigii
Lineage: Bacteria; Pseudomonadati; Bacteroidota; Cytophagia; Cytophagales; Amoebophilaceae
Description: bacterial SSU rRNA
Rfam family: Bacterial small subunit ribosomal RNA
Source: RNAcentral
CGUCCUAUUAGCUAGUUGGUGAGGUAAUGGCUCACCAAGGCUACGAUGGGUAGGGGUUCUUAGUGGAAGGUCCCCCACACUGGCACUGAGAUACGGGCCAGACUCCUACGGGAGGCAGCAGUAGGGAAUAUUGGUCAAUGGGCGCAAGCCUGAACCAGCCAUGCCGCGUGCAGGAUGAAGGCUCUCUGAGUUGUAAACUGCUUUUGCACAGGAGCAAAAAAAUCCCUGCGGGGGUUCUUGAGAGUACUGUAAGAAUAAGCACCGGCUAAUUCCGUGCCAGCAGCCGCGGUAAUACGGGAGGUGCAAGCGUUAUCCGGUUUUAUUGGGUUUAAAGGGUGCGUAGGCGGCUUAUUAAGUCAGUUGUGAAAUCCUAGUGCUUAACGCUAGAACUGCGAUUGAUACUAUU